GACGAACGCUGGCGGCGUGCCUAAUACAUGCAAGUAGAACGCACAGUUUAUACCGUAGCUUGCUACACCAUACACUGUGAGUUGCGAACGGGUGAGUAACGCGUAGGUAACCUGCCUGGUAGCGGGGGAUAACUAUUGGAAACGAUAGCUAAUACCGCAUAAUAUUGAUUAUUGCAUGAUAAUUGAUUGAAAGAUGCUGUUGCAUCACUACCAGAUGGACCUGCGUUGUAUUAGCUAGUAGGUGAGGUAACGGCUCACCUAGGCGACGAUACAUAGCCGACCUGAGAGGGUGAUCGGCCACACUGGGACUGAGACACGGCCCAGACUCCUACGGGAGGCAGCAGUAGGGAAUCUUCGGCAAUAGACGAAAGUCUGACCGAGCAACGCCGCGGGAGUGAAGAAGGGUGUCGGAUCGUAAAGCUCGGUUGUAAGAGAAGAACGGGUGUGAGAGUGGAAAGUUCACACUGUGACGGUAGCUUACCAGAAAGGGACGGCUAACUACGUG
Molecule: ribosomal RNA, 505 nt
Filed under: uncultured bacterium
Lineage: Bacteria
Description: partial 16S ribosomal RNA
Rfam family: Bacterial small subunit ribosomal RNA
Source: RNAcentral